CCUACGGGUGGCUGCAGUGGGGAAUUUUGGACAAUGGGCGAAAGCCUGAUCCAGCCAUUCCGCGUGAGUGAAGAAGGCCUUCGGGUUGUAAAGCUCUUUCGGCAGGAACGAAACGGUGAGAGCUAAUAUCUCAUUACUAAUGACGGUACCUGAAGAAGAAGCACCGGCUAACUACGUGCCAGCAGCCGCGGUAAUACGUAGGGUGCGAGCGUUAAUCGGAAUUGCGGAGCCUAAGGCGUGAGUCGGAUGUGAAAGCCCCGGGCUUAACCUGGGAACGGCAUGUGAAACUAGGUCGCUAGAGUAUGGCAGAGGGGGGUAGAAUUCCACGUGUAGCAGUGAAAUGCGUAGAGAUGUGGAGGAAUACCGAUGGCGAAGGCAGCCCCCUGGGUCAAUACUGACGCUCAUGCACGAAAGCGUGGGGAGCAAACAGGAUUAGAUACCCGUGUAGUC
Molecule: ribosomal RNA, 450 nt
Filed under: uncultured bacterium
Lineage: Bacteria
Description: partial 16S ribosomal RNA
Rfam family: Bacterial small subunit ribosomal RNA
Source: RNAcentral